CAGUCGCCGCGGUAAUACGUAGGUGGCAAGCGUUGUCCGGAAUUAUUGGGCGUAAAGGGCUCGCAGGCGGUUUCUUAAGUCUGAUGUGAAAGCCCCCGGCUCAACCGGGGAGGGUCAUUGGAAACUGGGAAACUUGAGUGCAGAAGAGGAGAGUGGAAUUCCACGUGUAGCGGUGAAAUGCGUAGAGAUGUGGAGGAACACCAGUGGCGAAGGCGACUCUCUGGUCUGUAACUGACGCUGAGGAGCGAGAGCGUGGGGAGCGAACAGGAUUAGAGACCCGAGUAGUCCCUGUCUCUUAUAA
RNAcentral lists this ribosomal RNA (301 nucleotides) under uncultured bacterium. RNAcentral describes it as "partial 16S ribosomal RNA". It matches the Rfam family "Bacterial small subunit ribosomal RNA", at positions 509 to 809 of the family's 1533-position model. The record is from RNAcentral.